This 423-nucleotide ribosomal RNA is filed under the name uncultured beta proteobacterium. RNAcentral's name for it is "bacterial SSU rRNA". It matches the Rfam family "Bacterial small subunit ribosomal RNA", at positions 958 to 1385 of the family's 1533-position model. The record is from RNAcentral. Lineage: Bacteria; Pseudomonadati; Pseudomonadota; Betaproteobacteria.
AACGCGAAGAACCUUACCUACCCUUGACAUGGCUGGAAUCCUUCAGAGAUGAGGGAGUGCUCGAAAGAGAACCAGUACACAGGUGCUGCAUGGCUGUCGUCAGCUCGUGUCGUGAGAUGUUGGGUUAAGUCCCGCAACGAGCGCAACCCUUGUCAUUAGUUGCUACGAAAGGGCACUCUAAUGAGACUGCCGGUGACAAACCGGAGGAAGGUGGGGAUGACGUCAAGUCCUCAUGGCCCUUAUGGGUAGGGCUUCACACGUCAUACAAUGGUACAUACAGAGGGCCGCCAACCCGCGAGGGGGAGCUAAUCCCAGAAAGUGUAUCGUAGUCCGGAUUGUAGUCUGCAACUCGACUACAUGAAGUUGGAAUCGCUAGUAAUCGCGGAUCAGCAUGUCGCGGUGAAUACGUUCCCGGGCCUUGUA